Molecule: ribosomal RNA, 279 nt
Filed under: Phalaris aquatica (canary grass)
Lineage: Eukaryota; Viridiplantae; Streptophyta; Magnoliopsida; Poales; Poaceae
Also listed under: 29 other names
Description: partial 18S ribosomal RNA
Rfam family: Eukaryotic small subunit ribosomal RNA
Source: RNAcentral
AAAUUUCAUCGUGAUGGGGAUAGAUCAUUGCAAUUGUUGGUCUUCAACGAGGAAUGCCUAGUAAGCGCGAGUCAUCAGCUCGCGUUGACUACGUCCCUGCCCUUUGUACACACCGCCCGUCGCUCCUACCGAUUGAAUGGUCCGGUGAAGUGUUCGGAUCGCGGCGACGGGGGCGGUUCGCCGCCCCCGACGUCGCGAGAAGUCCAUUGAACCUUAUCAUUUAGAGGAAGGAGAAGUCGUAACAAGGUUUCCGUAGGUGAACCUGCGGAAGGAUCAUUG